UACGAAGGGGGCUAGCGUUGCUCGGAAUCACUGGGCGUAAAGCGCACGUAGGCGGAUUGCUAAGUCAGGGGUGAAAUCCUGGAGCUCAACUCCAGAACUGCCUUUGAUACUGGCGAUCUCGAGUCCGGGAGAGGUGAGUGGAACUGCGAGUGUAGAGGUGAAAUUCGUAGAUAUUCGCAAGAACACCAGUGGCGAAGGCGGGUCUCUGGACAGUUCCUGACGCUGAGGCACGAAGGCCAGGGGAGCAAACGGG
RNAcentral lists this ribosomal RNA (253 nucleotides) under uncultured bacterium. RNAcentral's name for it is "partial 16S ribosomal RNA". It matches the Rfam family "Bacterial small subunit ribosomal RNA", at positions 524 to 776 of the family's 1533-position model. The record is from RNAcentral.